RNAcentral lists this small RNA (28 nucleotides) under Bombyx mori (domestic silkworm). Its description in RNAcentral is "ovarian small RNA-15975". The record is from RNAcentral. Lineage: Eukaryota; Metazoa; Arthropoda; Insecta; Lepidoptera; Bombycidae.
GAGUAAAGUAACCAUGCCCAUAAGGUUC